Molecule: ribosomal RNA, 497 nt
Filed under: uncultured bacterium
Lineage: Bacteria
Description: partial 16S ribosomal RNA
Rfam family: Bacterial small subunit ribosomal RNA
Source: RNAcentral
GAUGAACGCUGGCGGCGUGCCUAAUACAUGCAAGUCGAGCGAACAGACGAGGAGCUUGUUCCUCGGACGUUAGCGGCGGACGGGUGAGUAACACGUGGAUAACCUACCUAUAAGACUGGGAUAAUCUCGGGAAACCGGAGCUAAUACCGGAGAAUAUAUUGAACCGCGUGGUGGAAUAGUGAAAUACGGUGUUGCUGUCACUUCUAGAUGGUUCUGCGCCGCAUGAGAUAGUUGGUAAGGUCACGGCUUUCGAAGGCAAGGAGGCGUAGACGACCUGAGAGGGUGAUCGGCCACACUGGAGCUGAGACACGGUCCAGACUACUACGGGAGGCAGCAGUAGGGAAUCUUACGCAAUGGGCGAAAGCCUGACGGAGCAACGCCGCGUGAGUUAUGAAGGUCUUCGGAUCGUAAAACUCCGUUAUUAGGGAAGAACAAAUGUGUAAGUAACUAUGCACGUCUUGACGGUACCUAAUCAGAAAGCCACGGCUAACUACGUG